This 449-nucleotide ribosomal RNA is filed under the name bacterium VCB1009. Its description in RNAcentral is "bacterial SSU rRNA". It matches the Rfam family "Bacterial small subunit ribosomal RNA", at positions 28 to 459 of the family's 1533-position model. The record is from RNAcentral.
GAUGAACGCUGGCGGCGUGCUUAACACAUGCAAGUCGAACGAAGCAACUUAUUACGAUCCCUUCGGGGUGACGAUUUGUUGACUGAGUGGCGGACGGGUGAGUAACGCGUGGGUAACCUACCUUGUACAGGGGGACAACAGUUGGAAACGACUGCUAAUACCGCAUAAGCGCACAGUAUCGCAUGAUACAGUGUGAAAAGUUUUUUCGGUACAAGAUGGACCCGCGUCUGAUUAGCUAGUUGGUGAGGUAACGGCUCACCAAGGCGACGAUCAGUAGCCGACCUGAGAGGGUGACCGGCCACAUUGGGACUGAGACACGGCCCAAACUCCUACGGGAGGCAGCAGUGGGGAAUAUUGCACAAUGGGCGCAAGCCUGAUGCAGCGACGCCGCGUGAGCGAAGAAGUAUUUCGGUAUGUAAAGCUCUAUCAGCAGGAAGAUAAUGACGUAC